Molecule: long non-coding RNA, 2874 nt
Filed under: Sus scrofa (pig)
Lineage: Eukaryota; Metazoa; Chordata; Mammalia; Artiodactyla; Suidae
Description: lncRNA (ENSSSCG00035066500.1)
Source: RNAcentral
CACUCAAAGAACACUGGUUGGGUGCCCAUUUUCCAGAGCCUGGCUUAUAACUGGAGGUACAAAAGUAUGUAAAGCACUGCUUUAUUCCUGCUUUCAGGAAACUCAGAGGGAGACCGGGGGUGGAGUGGGAGUAGGGGGACAACUGCCUCAAGGGCUGACUGACUCGCUUGGAAAGAGAUACCGUAGGCUGGGAGGAAGGAAGGAUAAUCCAGGAGGACUUCGAGAGGAACAGACAUCUGCAGAAACUCUCAAAGGAUGAAAAAGAAUUAGCCAGGUUGUAUGGGUGGCAUAGAAGUCACUGUCCUUCAACGGGAAGGACACCAUUCUGGGAACUUUGAGUAACUUAUUGCUGUGUCGGAGGCAGGAGAUGACAGAAGAGCUUGUGAAUCACAUCUGAAAGCCUCUGCUCCCAGAGGCAACGCGAAGAAGCAAAGUGGCAAACUUGGCUUGGCCUUGCAGAUAUAUGCCAGUCAGCGAUGCAGGGGCCAAAGAUGAGCCAGGCUGGAGUCAGUCUAAAAUGGUUCUUUUAGCUCUGCAGGGCAAAAACCACAGGGCUUGUCUCCUGAGAGAGAGGAUGAGGGUUAAGAGAGGAAGAGAAAAUGUGACAAAGGCACUGAGGAAAUACAAAAUGGUAUUUGACAAUCAACACGAAUGAGAAGCCAUAGAACUGUAAAGGCAUUAUUCACAUGGUUAUGUUUUUUCCCAGCAGUAUUCCACCAUGCAGGUUUAGAAACCUUUAGAAAUUGUUCGUCGGAGGUUGUAUUCAGCUGCUAGCAUCAGAAGUUAACAGUGUGGUAAACAACACAGAGGGCUUUUCCUUCCUCACCGAAAAGGAUCCGGACAGAGUUCUCAGUGGCUCAGCAGGUUAAGGACCCAGCAUUGGCACUGCAGUGGCCUGGGUUCCUUCUCUGGCUCAGGAACAUCCACAUGUUGUGGGUAUGGCCCAAAAAACUUAAAAAUAAAAGGACUGGAGCCAGACAGCAGAGGCCACUUAAGCACGCAGGCUCCUACCUUUCUGCUCACUGGGCCAGAUACCGGCUUCUACCCUGAAGGUUGCCCCACGGCUCAAAAAAGCUGCUGGGACUCCCGCUGUUAUUUGAGAAUCUAAGUGGGGAAAUGGAAGAAGGAGGCAUGGUCAAAAAGACUAUGCCCCAGCUGUCUGUCCUGUUCAACAGCCUCUCUCCAAUCCUACCCACAACUUCACCUUACUUCUUACUGGCUAGAUUCAGUCAUAGGUCCCACAUCGCCCUACAGAGGGGCACUCUGACAUUCCCAGUCAAGUCAAGGUUCCGCAACUGGAAAAGAAGUGAAUGGGUAUUGGGUAAGCAAAGCGCAUUCCCAUCCAGGACUGGAGAUGCGUCAAGUAAGUGUGACAGAAGGACAGGGGAACACAGAAGGUCAAGGAGCCAGUGAGAGGGCCCAGAUGGAGAGUAGAGGGCUCAGCAGGGAGUGUGGAUCAUCUGAAAGAAAGUAGAUCCUCAAGGGACAAGAGUUCAGUGAGGUCAAAGCACAGCUACAGAGGGAUGGUGACAAAAAUCAGCUGGAAGGAAAGACAGUGGAGCCUAAAAAUGAUGCUAGUAUUUACUAAGUCAGAGUUCUCAGGCUCGGUGAUUUUUUUUUUUUUAAGCCUAAUUGUGGAGUGGAGGUCUCUGGAGUUGGCAGGGUGGGGAGACAGGAGAGUCCAGUGUGUUCAGAGGGUCAUGCCCAUGAAUGAUGCGAUCUCCCAGGGUGGUGCUGACUGGUGGAGAAGAGGUGUGUGAACCAGGGGCCAAACCUUUGGGAAAUGCUGCGGAGACUUGAGAAGGAUGUAGAGGGAGAGGGCUGCGGGGAGACAGCACAGGUUUCAAAGGGUACAGAGGAAUGGGCUGCAGGGCCAACACGGAUUCCAGCCAAGAGGAUCACAAAAUGGAUAAGCACAACAGCCGCCACUCAGAAGGGCAGCCAAAGAAGCUGGCUUAUGAGGACAGGAGGGAGCAGUGGUGCCUGUGACAAGGGGGCAGGGGCAGGUCUCAGCAGAGGAAGGACCAGGUUGGGGGAUGCCCUGGACUCCAAGGAAGGGAGAGGAAGCAACGGGAAAGCUCAGGAGAGAGCAGGUGAAGGGGCUCAGGGUGCAGGGAGGGCUGCUCUCCCGAUUGCUGCCGAGGACAAGGCAGGACAGGUAUGGGUGGCCUUAGGGUGCCAGCUGGGUCCGGCUCUGAGUCCCAGGUCCUUCCCAGGGGGGUUUCAGCAGCUCUGGUCCCUCCAAGGAUGGACUCAGAGUGGGACGGGGCAGGGCAGGCAGGGAGGGCACAGGCCUCCGUGGAUGGCACACUGACAGGCUGUCCGUCCCCCUGCAGGUCUGCAGACUAAAGCCAGAACCCCCGCCAGUCAGUCCAGGAGGUCACAGAGCCCCCCACAAGGAGAACCAGCCCCAGGUGGGUGUGAACUCUGUCCUGCCCAGCCUCUAACCCAUCGCCCACCCUCCUGUUCCCAUGCAGAGGAACAUUCCAGAACACGCAGGGGAAAUACGAGAGCACUGGGAACAAAGUGCAACAGACAAACCCCAAGCUGGACCAAAAUAAUGAUGGCAUCCUCUAUGCCUCCCUCACCCUCCACAACGUGCCCUCACCAGCCGCACCUCCAUGCCCUCCCGCCCACGGGGGCCCCCAGGAAGAGACCCUGUACUCUGCCCUGAAGACCUAAGGACUGGGACGAGUGAUGACCUCCUUAGGGUCAGCCAUGCACGGGGAUCUCACUUCCCCAUAAUCAGAGCCAAACAGAGACCACUCAGAAGCCAGCAGGUGCCGAAGGCCACCGAGGACCUGAGCACCUACCUGCUCCAAUUCCUCUUCGACUUCCCAGCCCUUGACCACACAAAUAAAAGUACCUGUAUGA